AUGUUGCGGCCGUUCCAGUCCCUGUUCCUGUUCCUGUCGGCCAUGUUGCGGCCGUUCCAGUCCCUGUUCCUGUUCCUGUCGGCCAUGUUGCGGCCGUUCCAGUUCCUGUCUCAGUCCCUGUCGGCCAUGUUGCGGCCGUUCCAGUUCCUGUCCCAGUCCCUGUCGGCCAUGUUGCGGCCGUUCCAGUUCCUGUCACCCUCGGAGCCGCAACGCCCGCCGGCCUGCUGCAGCUCCUGCGCACCUCCAGGAGGAGGUCGCACCAGCCGCAGUUCCUGCGCACCUCCGGGAGGGGGUCGCGCCCGCCGCAGUCCCGGCGGACCUCCGGGAGGGGGUCGCGCCCGCCGCAGUCCCGGCGGACCUCCGGGAGGGGGUCGCGCCCGUCGCAGUCCUGGCGGACCUCCGGGAGGGGGUCGCGCCCGUCGCAAUUCCUGCCGCACCUGCAUCGGUUCCUGGCGGCUCGGCUCCGGCCGCACCUGCAUCGGUUCCUGGCGGCUCGGCUCCGGCCGCAUCUGCACCUGUGUCUCUUCGCGGUGGUCCAAGGUGGACGCCACUGGUUCCUGUGUCUCGUCGCGGUGGUCCAAGGUGGACGCCGCUGGUUCCUGUGUCUCGUCGCGGUGGUCCAAGGUGGACGCCGCUGGUUCCUGUGUCUCGUCGCGGUGGUCCAAGGUGGACGCCGCUGGUUCCUGUUUCUCGUCGCGGUGGUCCAAGAAAGACGCUGCUGGUUCCUGUCUCUCGUCGCGGUGGUCCAAGGUGGACGCCGCUGGUUCCUGUGUCUCGUCGCGGUGGUCCAAGGUGGACGCCGCUGGUUCCUGUUUCUCGUCGCGGUGGUCCAAGAAAGACGCUGCUGGUUCCUGUCUCUCGUCGCGGUGGUCCAAGGAGGCCAUGUUGAAGCCGUUCCUGUUUCUGUCGGCCAUGUUGAAGCCGUUCCUGUUCCUGUCGGCCAUGUUGCGGCCGUUCCUGUUCCUGUCGGCCAUGUUGCGGCCGUUCCAGUCCCUGUCGGCCAUGUUGCGGCCGUUCCAGUCCCUGUCGGCCAUGUUGCGGCCGUUCCAGUCCCUGUCGGCCAUGUUGCGGCCGUUCCAGUCCCUGUCGGCCAUGUUGCGGCCGUUCCAGUCCCUGUCGGCCAUGUUGCGGCUGUUCCAGUCCCUGUUCCUGUUCCUGUCGGCCAUGUUGCGGCCGUUCCAGUCCCUGUUCCUGUUCCUGUCGGCCAUGUUGCGGCCGUUCCAGUUCCUGUCCCAGUCCCUGUCGGCCAUGUUGCGGCCGUUCCAGUUCCUGUCCCAGUCCCUGUCGGCCAUGUUGCGGCCGUUCCAGUUCCUGUCACCCUCGGAGCCGCAACGCCCGCCGGCCUCCAGGAGGAGUCUAGUCCAGGCCCCCGUCCAGUCGAGUCUAGUCCAGGCCCCCGUCCAGUCGAGUCCUGUCCCAGUUCAGUCGAGUCCUGUCCCAGUUCAGUCGAGUCCUGUCCCAGUACAGUCGAGUCCUGUCCCAGUACAGUCGAGUCACGCGCAGGUCUUGUCCCAGUCAGAGGACACCACCUGUCGAACGGGUGCUAGGCACACCCGAUCAGGCCCGACGUCUGCUCCAUCGAGCUCGGCGGUUGCAAGCAGCCAAGCCGGCUCCGGAGUAGACGCCGUCUCAGUCGCUGCCGGCUCUAGUGAGGAGCCUGAGAGCAGCGCCGCCGGCUCCAGUGAGGAGCCUGAGAGCAGCGCCGCCGGCUCCAGUGGAGAGCCUGAGAGCAGCGCCGCCGGCUCCAGUGGGGAGCCUGAGAGCAGCGCCGCCGGCUCCAGUGGGGAGCCUGAGAGCAGCGCCGCCGGCUCCAGUGGGGAGCCUGAGAGCAGCGCCGCCGGCUCUAGUAAGGACGCCGCUCCUGUUCCUGUCGGCCAAGUAGAGGUCGUUCCUGUUCCUGUCGGCCAAGUAGAGGUCGUUCCUGUUCCUGUCGGCCAUGUUGAAGCCGUUCCUGUUCCUGUCGACCAUGUUGAAGCCGUUCCUGUUCCUGUCGGCCAUGUUGAGGCCGUUCCAGUCCCUGUACCUGUUCCUGUCGGCCAUGUUGCGGCCGUUCCAGUCCCUGUUCCUGUUCCUGUCGGCCAUGUUGCGGCCAUUCCAGUUCCUGUCCCAGUCCCUGUCGGCCAUGUUGCGGCCGUUCCAGUUCCUGUCCCAGUCCCUGUCGGCCAUGUUGCGGCCGUUCCAGUUCCUGUCACCCUCGGAGCCGCAACGCCCGCCGGCCUGCUGCAGCUCCUGCGCACCUCCAGGAGGAGGUCGCGCCAGCCGCAGUCCCGGCGGACCUCCGGGAGGGGGUCGCGCCCGUCGCAGUCCCGGCGGACCUCCGGGAGGGGGUCGCGCCCGUCGCAAUUCCUGCCGCACCUGCAUCGGUUCCUGGCGGCUCGGCUCCGGCCGCACCUGCAUCGGUUCCUGGCGGCUCGGCUCCGGCUGCAUCUGCACCUGUGUCUCUUUGCGGUGGUCCAAGGUGGAUGCCACUGGUUCCUGUGUCUCGUCGCGGUGGUCCAAGGUGGACGCCGCUGGUUCCUGUGUCUCGUCGCGGUGGUCCAAGGUGGACGCCGCUGGUUCCUGUGUCUCGUCGCGGUGGUCCAAGGUGGACGUCGCUGGUUCCUGUGUCUCGUUGCGGUGGUCCAAGGUGGACGCCGCUGGUUCCUGUUUCUCGUCGUGGUGGUCCAAGGAGGACGCUGCUGGUUCCUGUCUCUCGUCGCGGUGGUCCAAGGAGGACGCCGCUGGUUCCUGUUUCUCGUCGCGGUGGUCCAAGGAGGACGCCGCUGGUUCCUGUGUCUCGUCGCGGAGGUCCAAGGAGGACGUCUCUACGUCUGUCUUCGCCUCUGGUUCCUGCCUCGUCUCCACGUCUGUCUUCGCCUCUGGUUCCUGCCUCGUCUCCAUGUCUGUCUUCGUCUCUGGUUCCUGCCUCGUCUCUGUCUCUGCUGCCGGACUGGUGGCCUCGCCCUCGGCGCAUCCUGCUGCUUGGAUGGCGCUGCCUCCUGCGGCGCCGUCCGCCUCGACUCCUCAACCUCCUGGAUCAGCGUCCGCCAGGAGGACAUCGCCGUUCGGGGGGGUCCCCGUGGACGCUGGCCCAGCCCAAGGGCACUGGGUGUGCCCCCCUGCCUCAGCGGCGGCUGGGCAGGACCUCGCCGCGUCUCCACCCGCCUUAAGAGGGAGCAGCGAGACGUCGUUCUGUUAUCCAUGCACCCUGGACUUCUCUCAUGGACUUUGUUCUUGUUUCGUGGACAUUAA
This is a long non-coding RNA of Betta splendens (Siamese fighting fish), 3231 nucleotides long. NCBI's taxonomy places the organism in Eukaryota, Metazoa, Chordata, Actinopteri, Anabantiformes, Osphronemidae. The record is from Ensembl.